Lineus longissimus is the source of this 329-nucleotide long non-coding RNA. RefSeq lists it as uncharacterized. The record is from RefSeq and is a predicted model, not a curated record. The transcript has 3 exons. Lineage: Eukaryota; Metazoa; Nemertea; Pilidiophora; Heteronemertea; Lineidae.
AGACACGUCAUCACGAAUCUUCUCCGCAAGGCUUUCGAUCUAUUUACGGCGCAAUGAAGUACAUGUUGUUUACCGUUUGCAUCCUCAUGGUUUUUGUUAUGGCCAAGGAAGGUUAUGGCGUUGUUCCCUGCAAGACGCUCGGUGCCCAGUGUGAAAACAACUGCUGUGGUGGUUUGACGUGUGACUGGUGUAAGGAUUGUAUUGGGCCGGCCUUUGGUAAAUGUAUCCCAAUAAAGAAACCGUCGUCCUGCGCCUCACAUCCUGAGUGCAGAGAUUAAAGCCGUAAUCGCAUCCUAGUUGCAGGACGUUACAAGGAUCUCGAUUGAUCA